RNAcentral lists this ribosomal RNA (405 nucleotides) under uncultured bacterium. RNAcentral describes it as "bacterial SSU rRNA". It matches the Rfam family "Bacterial small subunit ribosomal RNA", at positions 356 to 773 of the family's 1533-position model. The record is from RNAcentral.
GGGGAAUAUUGGACAAUGGGCGGAAGCCUGAUCCAGCAACGCCGCGUGAGGGAUGACUGCCUUCGGGUUGUAAACCUCUUUCAGUACCGACGAAGCGAAAGUGACGGUAGGUACAGAAGAAGCACCGGCCAACUACGUGCCAGCAGCCGCGGUAAUACGUAGGGUGCGAGCGUUGUCCGGAAUUAUUGGGCGUAAAGGGCUCGUAGGCGGUUUGUCGCGUCGGGAGUGAAAACCUCAUGCUUAACAUGUGGCUUGCCUUCGAUACGGGCAGACUAGAGGUAUGCAGGGGAGAACGGAAUUCCUGGUGUAGCGGUGAAAUGCGCAGAUAUCAGGAGGAACACCGGUGGCGAAGGCGGGUCUCUGGGCAUUACCUGACGCUGAGGAGCGAAAGUGUGGGGAGCGAAC